RNA transcript from Triticum aestivum (bread wheat), 1068 nucleotides. RefSeq lists it as uncharacterized. Lineage: Eukaryota; Viridiplantae; Streptophyta; Magnoliopsida; Poales; Poaceae. The transcript has 3 exons. The record is from RefSeq and is a predicted model, not a curated record.
GUGACCAGGGUCCGGGUACAGAAACGCGUGUCUCCCUGAUCCUCCGUAUGGAAAACAUGUCGAGGGCUUCGGGUCGGGUGGUUUGACGAGCAAUGAGAUCGCGCUGGUGGGGAGGCACCUCACGGUAAUGGCGGGCGCGGCAGAGCGGCGCUGGAUGCCGAUGGUGAGUUCCUAUUGGAUCCAGUUGACCGGUUCCCACUCAGGGAAGAGUUGGCCGACAGCUUGGAGCAGCCAAAUCCGGACACUCUAGGGUUCCUCCGACCAUCCAUGGCCAUUGGGCUGCAUCGCCGCCGAUGCCGUUGCCACCGCCCCGUCGCCGUCGACCCCGACACCACCGCUGCUCUCUACAUCUCAGUCUCGCCGGGGCCCCUCUCUGCCUUGGUCCCCUCUACUGGACAGCUGCUCGGCGGUGUCGUCUUUCUCCUGUACUGGUUGGCGGCAUCUCGUUCUCCGGCACCAACAAGUCCAUGGCCCCAUGGUUCUGCACGAAAUCUCUAGUCCGGCAGCCUCCAUCAGACACCACGGGCUUCUUUACUUCAAGGCAUGUGCUACACUUCAGCUGACUGAUUUGGAGGUAUUGUGGUAUGUGAACUGGACAUCAGAAGUUGCGAAGCCCCAUCGAUGCUGCUUUGGAGCAUCUCCACCACUCCUGCAAUGCCGGUGAUUUGCAACAUGGUGGAUGUUGUAGUGACAGAUGCAGCAGAGAUGUCGUGGUGCCCCUCCACUUUUCAGCAUGUCGUAUGUUGCGCCGGUUGUGUGGUGGUGGUGGUCGGCGCCGGCCCUCCAGGCUGCAGCACUCACCGCAGGAAUGGCUUGCAGCGGUCGUUGCCAUGGCACUGCUUUGCAGAAUCAGUGGGGGUCGAGCAGGCUGGCAGAAUCGCGGUGGGCGAUGUCUCUGUAAGAGGAUGAGAUGGAGAGUGAACUGGCCCACUGGGCACGUGCCAAUUGCACGAGGCACUUGUUUCUACAUUAAAAAUUAUAAUGCGAUUUAUGUAAGUGCUAUAUGUGAACUGGUAAGAGCAAUGGUUGAAUUGUUGGUCAGUGGAAGAGUAAUUGGUGAACCGUAAA